RNAcentral lists this ribosomal RNA (750 nucleotides) under Triticum aestivum (bread wheat). RNAcentral's name for it is "partial small subunit ribosomal RNA". The record is from RNAcentral. Lineage: Eukaryota; Viridiplantae; Streptophyta; Magnoliopsida; Poales; Poaceae.
UUCCCUCCAUGGAAAAAUGUGGAUGACCUGAUCGAGUUUCCUGCAUUUGAGCUGCCAAUUGAUGGGGUCUCUGUCAAGAUUUGUGAAUGGGUAGGAAUGCUAGAUGAAUUUGGAGUGUUAACUGAAGCUUGGGUUCGGAUUGAAGGGAUUCCUCCUAAAUGGUGUGCUUGGAAGGCUUUUGCCCAGAUUACUGCAUGUUUUGGGAUCCUGGUUGAUGUAGACUAGAAUGGCAUUUUUAAGAGCUUCUAUGAGACCAUCAGAGUGAAAGUUUCUUGUAGAGACCCAAGGAAAAUACCAUUUGAGAGGUUAGUGGAGAUGAAAAGGAAGUUGUACAUAUUGUUCUUCAUUGUGGAAGGUUUUGAGCAAAUGGGAGAAGACUCUGAUGGUGAUGAUCUUGAUCUAGAUUUGGAUAACUUGGAAAAGGAAAAUGAAGAUAACAAUGGGGAUGUGUCUAGUAAAGAUAAAUUUGAGGGGGUGAUAUGGAGGAACCUAUUGAUGAGCUGUACAAGGCAAACUUCCCUUCCAAAUUUACCUUUACUGCAAGUUCAAGUCAGUCACUGCCACAGAAAGUUGCUUCUACAGUUGAGUUUCACCCCACUAAUAUGUUGGAUACCGUUCAUGAGGACUUUGUGGAAGAGGUUAGGAACAAAACCCCUGAGAAAAUGGUUACCAAGGAUGCAGAGAAGGAAGAUAUCACCUCUACAAGGCCCUCUCUUUCUGCAAGAUCUGAUCCCUUGUCAGUGCACCUAG